RNAcentral lists this ribosomal RNA (440 nucleotides) under uncultured bacterium. RNAcentral describes it as "partial 16S ribosomal RNA". It matches the Rfam family "Bacterial small subunit ribosomal RNA", at positions 338 to 795 of the family's 1533-position model. The record is from RNAcentral.
CCUACGAGUGGCUGCAGUGGGGAAUAUUGCACAAUGGGGGAAACCCUGAUGCAGCGACGUCGCGUGAGUGAAGAAGUAAUUCGUUAUGUAAAGCUCUAUCAGCAGGGAAGAAAAUGACGGUACCUUAGUAAGAAGCCCCGGCUAACUACUGGCCAGCAGCCGCGGUAAUACGUAGGGGGCAAGCGUUCUCCGGAUUUACUGGGUGUAACGGGAGCGUAGACGGCAGUGCAAGUCUGGAGUGAAAGGCGGGGGCUCAACCCCCGGACUGCGUUUGAAACUGUACGGCUGGAGUGCAGGAGAGGUAAGUGGAAUUCCUAGUGUAGCGGUGAAAUGCGUAGAUAUUAGGAGGAACACCAGUGGCGAAGGCGGCUUACUGGACUGUAACUGACGUUGAGGCUCGAAAGCGUGGGGAGCAAACAGGAUUAGAUACCCGAGUAGUC